This 232-nucleotide ribosomal RNA is filed under the name uncultured bacterium. RNAcentral describes it as "partial 16S ribosomal RNA". It matches the Rfam family "Bacterial small subunit ribosomal RNA", at positions 104 to 334 of the family's 1533-position model. The record is from RNAcentral.
CGGGGUGAGUGACGCGUGGGUAACCUGCCUUGUACUGGGGGACAACAGUUAGAAAUGACUGCUAAUACCGCAUAAGCGCACAGUAUCGCAUGAUACAGUGUGAAAAACUCCGGUGGUACAAGAUGGACCCGCGUCUGAUUAGCUAGUUGGUAAGGUAACGGCUUACCAAGGCGACGAUCAGUAGCCGACCUGAGAGGGUGACCGGCCACAUUGGGACUGAGACACGGCCCAA